UUCAAGGUAAGUGUAACUAUAGAGUAUCAGUAGACACAAACAAUGAAAGGUACAUUCAAGGUAAGUCUAACUACAGAGUAUCAGUAGACACAGACAAUGAAAGGUACAUACAAUGUAAGUCUAACUACAGAGUAGCAGUAGACACAGACAAUGAAAGGUACAUACAAGGUAUACUACAAACAAAAAUGCAAGGAAUGCAAGACAGCAUGUAACCCGUACAGAGUAGAAGACGUGAAGUGUCCUAAGUGUGGUAAGCCUGCUAGAGAAUGUCAGGGUAUGUGUUACGUCGAUUUCAACGACUCCGACUCCGACGACGAGAAACAAGAAAAGCCACACCGAGCAGACCUUUGUCUAAAAUGUCGAUCUGGCUGGCCGUGUAUAUAAAGUCUUGCCUUGCCCACUUUCAUCCCGAUUUGAAGAUGGCGCCAUUCACUCAGAAUUUCAAUAUACCUUGGUAUUGGACUGUCUGUCUUUAAUGCGUGUGAAUGGUGUCCAUUUCAUGAUUCUUGACCUUAACGAUAGCAAUCAACGUAUUAUAUCAACACUAAUUAUUGUUCAAAUGAUAAAGGGUUUUAAAUUAUGCUUGUGAGUUGUCCCGAAUAAUUCAAGUCUUAUUUUUACGACUGUAUUCCGUUUGCUUAAUUCGGAUGCUUGUAGUCGCGAAAUGAACAGAUAUAAAAACAGCAAACCCUCCAGAUCCACAACACUAAUAAUGGCUCAAUCAGAGAAAACUAUUACAAGCGUCCUACAGAGCAAGGAACACCAGGAUGAUGACAUUUACAUUCGACUUGUAUGAGUAUUACAGAGCAAACUAAUACAAGCGUCCUAUAGACCAAGAUGUCAAGGAGAAUGACGUUUCAAUUGGACUGGUAUGAGUAUUACAGAGCGAACUAAUACAAGCUUCCUAUAGACCACGAUGUUCUAGGAGGAUUACAACAUUUACAUUGGAUUACAGAGCGAACUAAUAAAAGCGUCCUAUAGACCAAGAUGUCCCGGGAGGAUGACAUUUACAUUGGACUUGUAUGAGUAUUACAGAACGAACUAAUAAAAGCGUCCUAUAGACCAAGAUGUUCCAGGGGAAUGACAUUAACAUUCGACUUGUAUAAAUAUUAAAUCCUUAUAAUUUAUUAUAUUUUAAAAUUGUUUCGUAUUGAUAUACAUGUACUCACAUAGAUAGAAAAAAAACAGGCUCCUAACGGGAUUAUACAUACUUAUAUAUAUGUUCUCGGCCAAGUGUGAGAAGAGUCUGUGACUCAACAUGUUAUUAUCGAGUAUAGAUAAAGUCUUUUAUUAUUAUUAUUAUUUAUUAUUAUUAUUAUUACCAAAUUUUUCCAAAUAAUAUACUCCAGUGGAAUAAUUCACUUUUAAAUUUAUGUUUUUAAAUAGGUACACUCUAUAGCAACUAAAGGCAACAUCUUUGGUUUAUCGAUAUUAACACAAAACACAGGUUUUAUUUCAACAAAUCACACUAAGAUAGAAAAAAAUAUUUUUUUUCUCUUCUUUCUUUUUAAAAAUGUGUUUGUGAGAAAAUAAUUAACUGAGUUUUGUUUAGCCAUUUGGCCUAUUUUAUAAAUUGAAAAAGACUACAGCUGAAGUCAAAUAAUCACAUUGUCAUUUACACAAUUUAAUUACGAACACCAAACAUGUAAGACGCAUGAAAUAUCGUUUGUACAACACCGAUGGGCAGUGAAAACAAAUCCCAUAAACAGUAAACAAGAAUUCCAGUUUGAUUAAGACUUGUAGUUAUGUACCGAUCUUGAAGUGGUAACCAGGGAUACACGUUAUGCAAAAGCAAUUGACUGUGAUUUGUAAUAUUGGCUGUGCUGUUUUUUUAUUUGCUAUACCUUUGUAAUUUACACUUUUGUGAUAAAACCUUAAUUUUUCUAAGC
This 1889-nucleotide long non-coding RNA is filed under the name Mizuhopecten yessoensis (Yesso scallop). RNAcentral's name for it is "uncharacterized LOC110454408". Lineage: Eukaryota; Metazoa; Mollusca; Bivalvia; Pectinida; Pectinidae. The record is from RNAcentral.